RNAcentral lists this ribosomal RNA (617 nucleotides) under Herpotrichiellaceae sp. JCM 28542. Its description in RNAcentral is "eukaryotic LSU rRNA". It matches the Rfam family "Eukaryotic large subunit ribosomal RNA", at positions 38 to 667 of the family's 3401-position model. The record is from RNAcentral. Lineage: Eukaryota; Fungi; Ascomycota; Eurotiomycetes; Chaetothyriales; Herpotrichiellaceae. RNAcentral also lists the same sequence under 2 other names.
GCAUAUCAAUAAGCGGAGGAAAAGAAACCAACAGGGAUUGCCUCAGUAACGGCGAGUGAAGCGGCAACAGCUCAAAUUUGAAAUCUGGCCUCUUUGGGGUCCGAGUUGUAAUUUGUAGAGGAUGUUUCGGGUACCGCUCCGGUUUAAAUUUCUUGGAACAGAAUGUCAGAGAGGGUGAGAAUCCCGUCUUGGACCGGUGGUAGGACCUAUGUGAAACUCCUUCGACGAGUCGAGUUGUUUGGGAAUGCAGCUCAAAAUGGGUGGUAAAUUUCAUCUAAAGCUAAAUAUUGGCCAGAGACCGAUAGCGCACAAGUAGAGUGAUCGAAAGAUGAAAAGCACUUUGAAAAGAGAGUUAAACAGUAUGUGAAAUUGUUGAAAGGGAAGCGCUUGCAACCAGACUUGAGCGCGACGGUUCCCCCUUCCUUUUGGUUGGGUUACUCCGUCGUGUCCAGGCCAACAUCGGUUUCGGGGGUUGGUUAAAGGCGCCUUGAAUGUAUCUACCCUUCGGGCGUAGACUUAUAGCUCGGCGUGUCAUGCGACCUCCCGGGACCGAGGAACGCGCUUCGGCUCGGAUGUUGGCGUAAUGGUUGUCAGCGACCCGUCUUGAAACACGGACC